This 253-nucleotide ribosomal RNA is filed under the name uncultured bacterium. RNAcentral describes it as "partial 16S ribosomal RNA". It matches the Rfam family "Bacterial small subunit ribosomal RNA", at positions 524 to 776 of the family's 1533-position model. The record is from RNAcentral.
UACGCAGGGAGCUAGCGUUGUUCGGAAUUACUGGGCGUAAAGCGCACGUAGGCGGGCUCUUAAGUCAGGGGGGAAAUCCCGAGGCUCAACCUCGGAACUGCCUUUGAUACUGAGAGCCUUGAGGUCGGGAGAGGUGAGUGGAAUUCCUAGUGUAGAGGUGAAAUUCGUAGAUAUUAGGAAGAACACCAGUGGCGAAGGCGGCUCACUGGCCCGAAUCUGACGCUGAGGUGCGAAAGCGUGGGGAGCAAACAGG